CGGGAAACUGUGGCUAAACCCGGAUAGGAGAAUUCUACUGGAAGGUUUUUUCUCAUAAACGUAAGGCCUAAGGAUGAGACGGCGGCCGAUUAGGUAGUUGGUGAGGUAAUGGCUCACCAAGCCAAUGAUCGGUAGGGGCCUUGAGAGAGGUAUCCCCCAGAAGGGCACUGAGAUACUGGCCCUAGCCCCACGGGGUGCAGCAGGCGCGAAAACUUUACACUGUACGAAAGUGCGAUAAGGGAAUCCAAAGUGCUCAUGCAAAGCAUGGGCUUUUGCCAUGUGUAAAUAGCAUGGCGUAUAAGUGGUGGGUAAGACAUGUGCCAGCCGCCGCGGUAACACCUGCGCCACAAGUGGCAACCAGUAUUAUUGGGCCUAAAGCGUCCGUAGCCGGCUUAGUAAAUUUCCUGUGAAAUCGUCUCGCUCAACGAAACGGCUGCCGGAAACACUGCUAAGCUUGGGACCGGGAGGCGUCAGAGGUAUUCUUGAGGGAGCGGUAAAAUGCUAUAAUCUUAGGAGGACCCCCUGUGGCGAAGGCGUCUGACGAGAACGGAUCCGACGGUGAGGGACGAAAGCCAGGGGAGCAAACCGGAUUAGAUACCCGAGUAGUCCUGGCUGUAAACGCUGCGAGCUAGGUGUUGCGCAAUCUCCGAGAUUGCGCAGUGUCGAAGCGAAGGUGAUAAGCUCGCCGCCUGGGAAGUAUGGUCGCAAGACUGAAACUUAA
Molecule: ribosomal RNA, 721 nt
Filed under: uncultured euryarchaeote
Lineage: Archaea; Methanobacteriati; Methanobacteriota
Description: bacterial SSU rRNA
Rfam family: Archaeal small subunit ribosomal RNA
Source: RNAcentral